CCUACGGGGGGCUGCAGUGGGGAAUAUUGCACAAUGGGGGAAACCCUGAUGCAGCGACGCCGCGUGAGUGAAGAAGUAAUUCGUUACGUAAAGCCCUAUCGGCAGGGAAGAAGCAAGACGGUACCUGACUAAGAAGCCCCGGCUAACUACGUGCCAGCAGCCGCGGUAAUACGUAGGGGGCGAGCGUUAUCCGGAUUCACUGGGUGUAAAGGGAGCGUAGACGGCCAUGCAAGCCAGGGGUGAAAGCCCGGGGCCCAACCCCGGGACUGCCCUUGGAACUGUGCGGCUAGAGUGCGGGAGGGGCAGGCGGAAUUCCUGGUGUAGCGGUGAAAUGCGUAGAUAUCAGGAGGAACACCGGCGGCGAAGGCGGCCUGCUGGACCGCGACUGACGUUGAGGCUCGAAAGCGUGGGGAGCGAACAGGAUUAGAUACCCGAGUAGUC
This 441-nucleotide ribosomal RNA is filed under the name uncultured bacterium. Its description in RNAcentral is "partial 16S ribosomal RNA". It matches the Rfam family "Bacterial small subunit ribosomal RNA", at positions 338 to 795 of the family's 1533-position model. The record is from RNAcentral.